Molecule: long non-coding RNA, 1828 nt
Organism: Ooceraea biroi (clonal raider ant)
Lineage: Eukaryota; Metazoa; Arthropoda; Insecta; Hymenoptera; Formicidae
Source: RefSeq, a predicted model, not a curated record
AUUGCGCAUUAAAUGCAUGCUUGUCAGAUGUGCAAGAUAAAUUCGUGAUAAAUGAUGAUGAUGAUGAUGAUGAUGAUGAAAAAUAAAUGAUAAAUUCGUAAUGAUCCGUAAUAAAUGAUUCAGCUUUUAUGAACAAUUAAUUCCUGGGAAAAGAUUUUUGAAAAUAAGGGGUCGAGACGUUUGAAUACAAGGGAAUCGCCUCACGUGCGCGCGUAACCAGUAUUUGAAUUUCGCGGGCAAUUACUGAUUAAUCAUAUUUAUCUUCCAAACUUGGGCGCUUGCGAGAAUAAAUUAUCUAUGCAUAUUUGAUGAAAGUAGUACUUUAACGCUAAGAUUGUGUGUAUUGGCAUGCUUUGUCUUUUUUUUCCUUUAACUGUAUUGGAAUGCCAUAACCUUGCAAAGAAAUCAAAACAUGAUGACAACCACUUGUGUGAUACAUGUGGAGACUCGUAGCGGACUUCUCAAGAACUAAGAAAUGGAGACCGGAAAGCUGCGUCUGGUUGGCAAUCGCAUAGACGUAUAUAUACGUCUAUGGGCAAUCGGUUCAUCACGCAAAGAGCAGCGACUGUAGACUAGGAAGAAACUUUCAAGUUUUUCUUUACAUUUGGCAGUUAUUAUUCUAUUCUAGCGCACAACUAUGAUGGAUUUCAAGAUACAUCUAUGCUAGUGAAGCUGUUCUUCUUGGCACAUCAAUCACAUGCUUCUCCGAAAUGCAUUUGAAUCGCUUGCCGAGUUCUGACGAUCUCUUGACGAUGAUCUUUGCUCUGACAAAAUGGUGAGUAUCGUGAAGCCGCGAGCCGUCGGACAGCAGAUUGCGUCGAUGAAGAUACAAAACCUUUCUGGUAAGUUUGUCGAGUGUCAGCAAUAGUUUUUGCGAUGUUUAUAAUAUAUUGAUCGUUUGAAGAUCGCAAUCAAGUGAUUGCAACGUCAACCUUAUCGUAGUUAGAUCACUGAUCGGAUCAAUCGCCAACGAUUACGCAAUGGUGAUGUAUAGAAUCGCGAAACGUGAGAGCCGUGAGUGACCGUGGAAGAGACCUUUGUCUUCAUUAGACUAUCGAUCGGCAAAUGCAUUAUUAUCGGUGCAUGGAUUCCGAAACGAGUCAACUGAAUCACAAACAAGCGAUACUGGAUGAUAAUGUUUGUGCUGAUUUCUCGCGAUUUUACGCGUUUAACGUUUAUAAUUUGUCAGGUGAGGUAAGGUGAUGGCAACGAUACCGUUUUGUAGCGAUUUACUCAUGUCAUCUGAAUUAAAAUAAAAAAAUUCCAUCUUUGACAAAUUUUCGGAUCUUGAGAAUUUUGUGCGAGGACGAGGAAUUAUUGGCCACAUGUCGCGUGUUUUCUAUUUAUUUAUUGUUGUACAAUCCAAUGAAAAGUGUUUCAUGUCGGUGUGAAUUUGCGUUAACCCCAAAUCAAUAUUUGUGAUGCGCAUACUUCGAUUGUACGCAUGGGGAACAAUAUCGGGAAUAAAUUUUCCGGUAUUUCUAUCCGCUUGCGGUUCAUUGAUAGACAUAUUAAUGUGUACAUGUGUAACGAAACAAAUGAAAUCGGCUUGUUACUUGUAACUGCGAUACUAUAAUCGUACGUAUCCAAUAAACGCCGGAGGCUGCUGAAAGCUCAAGCUAAUUCGAAAACGGCAACUGCGUCGUAGAUAUUAUUCAUCGGAUAUAUUUCCACGAGAUAGUAAGUAGCGAAAAGGGAAUCCCGAGCGAGGCGGUGCAUCGCGAUAACCGCAUUAAUUAUGCAAACAUUUUUCUGGAUAGAUGCAUUAUCUGUUAGAAAGUUGUAAUUUACUCAACAAUAUCAAGUUUUCGAAUAUAGUAUGUAAAGU